This 300-nucleotide long non-coding RNA is filed under the name Fukomys damarensis (Damara mole-rat). Its description in RNAcentral is "lncRNA (ENSFDAG00000031683.1)". Lineage: Eukaryota; Metazoa; Chordata; Mammalia; Rodentia; Bathyergidae. The record is from RNAcentral.
CUCCUACGCCGACUCACUGGAGAGGGAAAGGCAACUCCAAGAAAAUGCGGAUCCUCCUGCUGGCUCUUGCUGUUGGCUUUGCUUGUGCAGAUUCCCAAAUCAAUCCAGCAAGGAUAAAUGGGGAAUGGCGCAGCAUUGCCGAAGCCGCUGACAAUGUGGAGAAGAUCCAAGAGGGUGGACCACUGAGAGCCUAUCUCAGAUCACUGAACUGUUUCCAAGGAUGCCGGAAGCUCUCUGUCAACUUUUAUGUUAAGUAAGUACAAUUCACCCUAAUUUAAAGGAAAAAACAACUAUUGCCCU